Molecule: ribosomal RNA, 219 nt
Filed under: uncultured bacterium
Lineage: Bacteria
Description: partial 16S ribosomal RNA
Rfam family: Bacterial small subunit ribosomal RNA
Source: RNAcentral
CGACCUCAGUUCGGAUUGAAGGCUGAAAUUCGCCUUCAUAAAGUUGGAAUUGCUAGUAAUCGCGAAUCAGAAUGUCGCGGUGAAUACGUUCCCGGGCCUUGUACACACCGCCCGUCACACCAUGAGAGUCGAUAACACCCGAAGCCUGUGAGCUAACCUUUUAGGAGGCAGCAGUCGAAGGUGGGGUUGAUGAUUGGGGUGAAGUCGUAACAAGGUACC